UAUAUCAGUCAUGCAUAGCAUAUCAAUAAGCGGAGGAAAAGAAACUAACAAGGAUUCCCUUAGUAGCGGCGAGUGAAGCGGGAAGAGCUCAAAUUUGAAAUCUUCAAGGUUUUACCUUGACGAAUUGUAGUUUAAAGAAGUGUUUUCUGUUGAAGUUUUGGUAAAGGUUCUUUGGAAUAGGACAUCAUAGAGGGUGAGAAUCCCGUAUUUGACCAUUACUUUCAGCUUUGUGAUACACUUUCAAAGAGUCGGAUUGUUUGGGAAUGCAGUCCAAAAUGGGUGGUAAAUUUCAUCUAAAGCUAAAUAUUGGCGAGAGACCGAUAGCGAACAAGUACCGUGAGGGAAAGAUGAAAAGAACUUUGAAAAGAGAGUUAAACAGUACGUGAAAUUGUCAAAAGGGAAGCGUUUGACACCAGUGUUGUUUUCUCGAAAAUCAAUUAAAAAGAGUUGGAUUUUGUGUUGUAUUGACUUUAUCGGCUUUCUUCACUCUUUUCCAGCUUUUUUUAAUGCACUUUUCGUUUAACAAGUCAACAUCAGUUUCUUUUGUUGUAAAAAGGUCAUUGGAAGGUGGCUUUCUCUUCGGAGAAAGUGUUUAUAGCCUUUGACUCAUGCAAUCGGAGAGACUGAGGUCUGCAGCGUAGAUCCUUCGGGGUUAGAUACAUUUGUGCUAAGUUAUAGCUUUUCAUAGACAACUUGUUGACUAUGUUUAGUCUUGUAGCUUACUCGCUUAUGCUAUUUUACCUACGCUUAGGAUGUUGAACUCUAUCACACACAG
Molecule: ribosomal RNA, 775 nt
Filed under: uncultured Neocallimastigales
Lineage: Eukaryota; Fungi; Neocallimastigomycota; Neocallimastigomycetes; Neocallimastigales
Description: partial large subunit ribosomal RNA
Rfam family: Eukaryotic large subunit ribosomal RNA
Source: RNAcentral